UAGUCCACGCCCUAAACGAUGCUAACUCGAUAUUUGGACUAUAAGUCUGAGUGUCUAAGGGAAACCAAUAAGUUAGCCACCUGGGGAGUACGUUCGCAAGAAUGAAACUCAAAGGAAUUGACGGGGUCCGCACAAGCGGUGGAGCAUGUGGUUUAAUUCGAUGAUACGCGAGGAACCUUACCUAGGCUAUAAUGUGAGCGCUAUCCGGUGAAAGCCGGAGUUCCUUCGGGACGUGAAACAGGUGCUGCAUGGUUGUCGUCAACUCGUGCCGUGAGGUGUUGGCUUAAGUGCCGCAACGAGCGCAACCCCUAUUCGUUAGUUGCCAGCGAGUAAUGUCGGGGACUCUAACAAGACUGCCGGCGUAAGCCGAGAGGAAGGUGGGGAGGACGUCAAAUCAUCAUGGCCUUUAUGCCUAGGGGCUACACACGUGCUACAAUGGGACGGUACAGAGGGGUCGCUAACCCGCGAGGGGGUGCGUAAUCUCAGAAAGCCGUUCCCAGUUCGGGAUCGGGAGUCUGGCAACUCGAC
RNAcentral lists this ribosomal RNA (528 nucleotides) under uncultured bacterium. RNAcentral's name for it is "bacterial SSU rRNA". It matches the Rfam family "Bacterial small subunit ribosomal RNA", at positions 791 to 1316 of the family's 1533-position model. The record is from RNAcentral.